Molecule: small RNA, 503 nt
Filed under: uncultured Glomus
Lineage: Eukaryota; Fungi; Glomeromycota; Glomeromycetes; Glomerales; Glomeraceae
Description: SSU rRNA
Rfam family: Eukaryotic small subunit ribosomal RNA
Source: RNAcentral
AGCAGCCGCGGUAAUUCCAGCUCCAAUAGCGUAUAUUAAAGUUGUUGCAGUUAAAAAGCUCGUAGUUGAAUUUCGGGAUCAGUAUGUCGGUCGUGCUUCGGUACGUACUGUCAUUACUGGUUUCUACCUUCUGAAGAACCAUGAUGUCAUUAAUUUGGUGUCAUGGGGAAUCAGGACUGUUACUUUGAAAAAUUAGAGUGUUUAAAGCAGGCUCGCGCUUGAAUACAUUAGCAUGGAAUAAUGAAAUAGGACGUUUGAUUCUAUUUUGUUGGUUUCUAGGAUCGACGUAAUGAUUAAUAGGGAUAGUUGGGGGCAUUAGUAUUCAAUUGUCAGAGGUGAAAUUCUUGGAUUUAUUGAAGACUAACUACUGCGAAAGCAUUUGCCAAGGAUGUUUUCAUUAAUCAAGAACGAAAGUUAGGGGAUCGAAGACGAUCAGAUACCGUCGUAGUCUUAACCAUAAACUAUGCCGACUAGGGAUCGGAUGAUGUUAUUUUUAAUGACUC